Molecule: long non-coding RNA, 159 nt
Organism: Cyprinus carpio (common carp)
Lineage: Eukaryota; Metazoa; Chordata; Actinopteri; Cypriniformes; Cyprinidae
Exons: 3
Source: RefSeq, a predicted model, not a curated record
ACGUAUGCUGAGAUUGACCUGAAAUCUACAAAGAAACAGAAGAAAAAGAAAAAAAACAAAGAGAAUAAACCUGAGAGUUCUGAGAGCUUUUACUCUGAACUCACACUGCAAACAGAUCGAGGUGCUGGAUCUUGUGAAGCGACUUAUGCUCAGGUUAAA